GGAAUAUUGGUCAAUGGGUGAGAGCCUGAACCAGCCAUGCCGCGUGCAGGAAGAAGGCCUUCUGGGUUGUAAACUGCUUUUGCCAGGGGAUAAAAUACCCUUGCGAGGGUAAUUGAAGGUACCUGGUGAAUAAGCCACGGCUAACUACGUGCCAGCAGCCGCGGUAAUACGUAGGUGGCAAGCGUUGUCCGGAUUUAUUGGGUUUAAAGGGUGCGUAGGCGGCCUUUAAGUCAGUGGUGAAAUACUUCGGCUUAACCGGAGAGGUGGCAUUGAUACUGAUGGGCUUGAGUACAGAUGAGGUAGGCGGAAUUGACGGUGUAGCGGUGAAAUGCAUAGAUAUCGUCAAGAACACCGAUAGCGAAGGCAGCUUACUAGGCUGUAACUGACGCUGAUGCACGAAAGUGUGGGGAUCAAACAG
This 418-nucleotide ribosomal RNA is filed under the name Sphingomonas sp. sph1. Its description in RNAcentral is "bacterial SSU rRNA". It matches the Rfam family "Bacterial small subunit ribosomal RNA", at positions 358 to 775 of the family's 1533-position model. The record is from RNAcentral. Lineage: Bacteria; Pseudomonadati; Pseudomonadota; Alphaproteobacteria; Sphingomonadales; Sphingomonadaceae.